GACAGAGGUGCCAAGCGUUAGGCGGAAUCACUGGGCUUAAAGCGUGUGUAGGCGGGCGGGCAAGUACCUUGUGAAAUCCCACGGCUCAACCGUGGAACGGCUGGGUAUACUGCCUGUCUUGAGCCAGCUAGGGGUGACCGGAACAGACGGUGGAGCGGUGAAAUGCGUAGAUAUCGUCUGGAACGCCAAAGGUGAAAACAGGUCGCUGGGGCUGAGCUGACGCUGAGACACGAAAGCCAGGGGAGCGAACGGG
Molecule: ribosomal RNA, 253 nt
Filed under: uncultured bacterium
Lineage: Bacteria
Description: partial 16S ribosomal RNA
Rfam family: Bacterial small subunit ribosomal RNA
Source: RNAcentral